Molecule: ribosomal RNA, 253 nt
Filed under: uncultured bacterium
Lineage: Bacteria
Description: partial 16S ribosomal RNA
Rfam family: Bacterial small subunit ribosomal RNA
Source: RNAcentral
UACGUAGGGACCGAGCGUUGUCCGGAAUCAUUGGGCGUAAAGAGCGUGUAGGCGGCUAUUUAAGUCCUGCGUGAAAUCCUGCGGCUCAACCGCAGACGGUCGUGGGAAACUGGAUGGCUAGAGUGCGGGAGAGGAGAGUGGAAUUCCCGGUGUAGCGGUGAAAUGCGCAGAUAUCGGGAGGAACACCAGUAGCGAAGGCGGCACUCUGGGCCGUGACUGACGCUGAGGAGCGAAAGCGUGGGUAGCAAACAGG